GGCUCCGGCUUCCGUCCCGGACUGCGCCCGCGGCCGCGCAGGUUUCUUUUUUUAAUUUUUGUCGUACCUGGGAGUGCUUUGGGAGUACUCCUGGCUCUGUUCAGGAUUGACCCAUCGUGGUGCUCAGGAAACCAUCUGUAGUGCCAGGAUCAAACCAAGUCACUUUGCAUCCCUGCGACUGACCGCGACCUACCAGUGUGGACGCGUCUCCCCCCUUGGCAGAUAUCUG
Long non-coding RNA from Suncus etruscus (white-toothed pygmy shrew), 229 nucleotides. RefSeq lists it as uncharacterized. The record is from RefSeq and is a predicted model, not a curated record. NCBI's taxonomy places the organism in Eukaryota, Metazoa, Chordata, Mammalia, Eulipotyphla, Soricidae. The transcript has 3 exons.